CACCGAGUCCGAGGUUCCGGGGUUCGCCGGAGCCUGGUGCAAAAGGGA
The sequence is a small RNA, 48 nucleotides long. It matches the Rfam family "raiA-hairpin RNA". The record is from Rfam.